AGCGAACGCUGGCGGCAGGCCUAACACAUGCAAGUCGAACGAACCUAUCGGGGUUAGUGGCGGACGGGGGAGUAACACGUGGGAACGUGCCUUUAGGUUCGGAAUAACUCAGGUAAACUUGUGCUAAUACCGAAUGUGCCCUGCGGGGGAAAGAUUUAUCGCCUUUAGAGCGGCCCGCGUCUGAUUAGCUAGUUGGUUGAGGUAAUGGCUCACCAAGGCGACGAUCAGUAGCUGGUCUGAGAGGAUGAUCAGCCACAUUGGGACUGAGACACGGCCCAAAAUCCUACGGGAGGCAGCAGUGGGGAAUCUUGCGCAAUGGGCGAAAGCCUGACGCCGCCAUGCCGCGUGAAUGAUGAAGGUCUUAGGAUUGUAAAAUUCUUUCACCGGGGACGAUAAUGACGGUACCCGGAGAAGAAGCCCCGGCUAACUUCGUG
Molecule: ribosomal RNA, 434 nt
Filed under: uncultured bacterium
Lineage: Bacteria
Description: partial 16S ribosomal RNA
Rfam family: Bacterial small subunit ribosomal RNA
Source: RNAcentral